This 674-nucleotide ribosomal RNA is filed under the name uncultured bacterium. RNAcentral describes it as "bacterial SSU rRNA". It matches the Rfam family "Bacterial small subunit ribosomal RNA", at positions 8 to 660 of the family's 1533-position model. The record is from RNAcentral.
AGAGUUUGAUCCUGGCUCAGGACGAACGCUGGCGGCGUGCUUAACACAUGCAAGUCGAACGGAGAACUUUCUUCGGAAUGUUCUUAGUGGCGAACGGGUGAGUAACGCGUAGGCAACCUGCCCUCUGGUUGGGGAUAACAUUCCGAAAGGGAUGCUAAUACCGAAUGUGAUCCUUCUUUCGCAUGAAGGAAGGAUGAAAGAUGGCCUCUACUUGUAAGCUAUCGCCAGAGGAUGGGCCUGCGUCUGAUUAGCUAGUAGGUGGGGUAACGGCUCACCUAGGCGAUGAUCAGUAGCCGGUCUGAGAGGAUGAACGGCCACAUUGGGACUGAGACACGGCCCAAACUCCUACGGGAGGCAGCAGUGGGGAAUCUUCCGCAAUGGACGAAAGUCUGACGGAGCAACGCCGCGUGAGUGAUGAAGGUCUUCGGAUUGUAAAACUCUGUUGUCAGAGACGAAUGCACCGAUUUAUAAUACACUUUGGUGUUGACGGUACCUGACGAGGAAGCCACGGCUAACUACGUGCCAGCAGCCGCGGUAAUACGUAGGUGGCAAGCGUUGUCCGGAAUUAUUGGGCGUAAAGAGCAUGUAGGCGGGCUUUUAAGUCCGACGUGAAAAUGCGGGGCUUAACCCCGUAUGGCGUUGGAUACUGGGAGUCUUGAGUGCAGGAGAGGAAA